UGAGGGCUGCUCUGUUCUGAGUGACAAUUACCUCAGCACAGCCUCGACCAAUCAGCACCAAGUAUUCAAGUCAGGUGAUACCCUCUCCUCGCCGUCUCCUCAGCCAUUCGCCCUGCGUCCGCUGAUGUGAUGUGAUGGGUCUCCGGUUGUGUUGCAGCGGUGAGGUGGUGUUGCAUCUUUCCUCAGCAGGCGUGUUGUGGUGGAUUGCGGUGUGAAGGGAGAGGUGGAUCAGGUGGUGACAGAGAGGGUGGCCAGCUUGUUCCUCCCUCCUGCCACAAAGCCACAGCACAGGCAGUUCCUGCAGUGAGACUGUCAAGGCACAAGUUUGUGCACAUAUCCAGGACGUGAAGGUGAUGGGAACGUGUUCUGUAGGAGGGAGCAGAGCUGUAGUAGUACCCCAGAGUCUGCUGCUGUGCUGGGAGGAGGAGAGAAACAUCAGCAGUAGUAGUGGUAGUAGAAGUAUUCAGCAGUGGUGGGGCUCUGCUACUGCUACUGCUGUCAGUGGUGCAGCAGUUCACUCCUCCACAGCUGCUGCCUUCCCUCACCUACAAUGAACAACUAUGAAUAAUACCUCUCAUGCAAUCAGGCAGCGCUCAGCUGUACUCACCGAUAGACACUACUAAGAAUUACCUGUGGGCCACAUGACAAGGCCCACGCCAGCCAGGCUUGGUUGACAAUCAAUAACAACAACAACAUCUCGUGCAAUGAAUAACACUGAAUAACACCUCUUCCCUGCAUCAUCAACAAUCAAUAACACCUGCUUUGCUUCACACUGAUGCUGCCCUCUCUCUCUCUCUCUCUCUCUCUCUCUCUCUCUCUCUCUCUCUCUCUCUCUCUCUCUCUCUCUCUCUCUCUCUCUCUC
Long non-coding RNA from Scylla paramamosain (green mud crab), 862 nucleotides. RefSeq lists it as uncharacterized. NCBI's taxonomy places the organism in Eukaryota, Metazoa, Arthropoda, Malacostraca, Decapoda, Portunidae. The transcript has 2 exons. The record is from RefSeq and is a predicted model, not a curated record.